GGAGAGGUGUCCGAGUGGCUGAAGGAGGCGGUCUCGAAAACCGUUAGGCCGGUCAAUCCGGCCUCGUGGGUUCGAAUCCCACCCUCUCCGCCA
This 93-nucleotide transfer RNA is filed under the name Calditerricola satsumensis. RNAcentral's name for it is "tRNA-Ser". It matches the Rfam family "tRNA". From Rfam's summary of the family: Transfer RNA (tRNA) molecules are approximately 80 nucleotides in length. Their secondary structure includes four short double-helical elements and three loops (D, anti-codon, and T loops). Further hydrogen bonds mediate the characteristic L-shaped molecular structure. tRNAs have two regions of fundamental functional importance: the anti-codon, which is responsible for specific mRNA codon recognition, and the 3' end, to which the tRNAs corresponding amino acid is attached (by aminoacyl-tRNA synthetases). tRNAs cope with the degeneracy of the genetic code in two manners: having more than one tRNA (with a specific anti-codon) for a particular amino acid; and 'wobble' base-pairing, i.e. permitting non-standard base-pairing at the 3rd anti-codon position. Lineage: Bacteria; Bacillati; Bacillota; Bacilli; Caryophanales; Bacillaceae. RNAcentral also lists the same sequence under 1 other name. The record is from RNAcentral.